GAUGAACGCUGACAGAAUGCUUAACACAUGCAAGUCAACUUGAACUUCGGUUUGGGUGGCGGACGGGUGAGUAACGCGUAAAGAACUUGCCUCACAGCUAGGGACAACAUUUGGAAACGAAUGCUAAUACCUGAUAUUAUGAUUAUAUGGCAUCGUAUAAUUAUGAAAGCUAUAUGCGCUGUGAGAGAGCUUUGCGUCCCAUUAGCUAGUUGGAGAGGCAACAGCUCACCAAGGCGAUGAUGGGUAGCCGGCCUGAGAGGGUGAUCGGCCACAAGGGGACUGAGACACGGCCCUUACUCCUACGGGAGGCAGCAGUGGGGAAUAUUGGACAAUGGACCGAGAGUCUGAUCCAGCAAUUCUGUGUGCACGAUGAAGUUUUUCGGAAUGUAAAGUGCUUUCAGUUGGGAAGAAAAAAAUGACGGUACCAACAGAAGAAGUGACGGCUAAAUACGUG
This 454-nucleotide ribosomal RNA is filed under the name uncultured bacterium. Its description in RNAcentral is "partial 16S ribosomal RNA". It matches the Rfam family "Bacterial small subunit ribosomal RNA", at positions 28 to 507 of the family's 1533-position model. The record is from RNAcentral.